AUUGAACGCUGGCGGCAUGCCUUACACAUGCAAGUCGAACGGCAGCACGGGAGCAAUCCUGGUGGCGAGUGGCGAACGGGUGAGUAAUAUAUCGGAACGUGCCCAGUCGUGGGGAUAACGUAGCGAAAGCUACGCUAAUACCGCAUACGAUCUAUGGAUGAAAGCGGGGGAUCGCAAGACCUCGCGCGAUUGGAGCGGCCGAUAUCAGAUUAGGUAGUUGGUGAGGUAAAGGCUCACCAAGCCGACGAUCUGUAGCUGGUCUGAGAGGACGACCAGCCACACUGGGACUGAGACACGGCCCAGACUCCUACGGGAGGCAGCAGUGGGGAAUUUUUGGACAAUGGGCGCAAGCCUGAUCCAGCAAUGCCGCGUGAGUGAAGAAGGCCUCGG
Molecule: ribosomal RNA, 390 nt
Filed under: uncultured bacterium
Lineage: Bacteria
Description: bacterial SSU rRNA
Rfam family: Bacterial small subunit ribosomal RNA
Source: RNAcentral